RNAcentral lists this ribosomal RNA (275 nucleotides) under uncultured bacterium. RNAcentral describes it as "partial 16S ribosomal RNA". It matches the Rfam family "Bacterial small subunit ribosomal RNA", at positions 523 to 796 of the family's 1533-position model. The record is from RNAcentral.
AUACGGAGGGUGCAAGCGUUAUCCGGAAUUAUUGGGUUUAAAGGGUCCGUGGGCGGCUAGAUAAGUCAGUGGUGAAAUUCUCUCGCUCAACGAGAGACCUGCCAUUGAUACUGUCUUGGCUAGAGUUACAGUGAGGUGAGUGGAAUGUGUAGUGUAGCGGUGAAAUGCAUAGAUAUUACACAGAACACCGAUUGCGAAGGCAGCUCACUAACUGUAUACUGACGCUGAUGGACGAAAGCGUGGGGAGCAAACAGGAUUAGAAACCCUAGUAGUCC